CUGCUUUGAACAGGUGAAGCUUCCCAGCCGGAGCGCUGAGGAAACUGUCAACAGGCGAUCGCUAACCAACAUAGGAAAAGUGUUCGCGCUGAGAGGGAAGAGG
This 103-nucleotide non-coding RNA is filed under the name Rhodosorus marinus. The record is from RNAcentral. Lineage: Eukaryota; Rhodophyta; Stylonematophyceae; Stylonematales; Stylonemataceae.